UUGAGCAACUUCUCUCUGGGUGCUUUGUCAAUACUAACAAAGUCCCUUGGAGGUCAAGUCUUGAGUAAUAUACGGUGUUCCAGCUCCCUGGUAAGGUACGUCUUUCAUCAAGCAAGCCCUAAGAUACGUCUUGAUCUCCUGUUUCUCAGGUAUCUUGGAGGAAAUUACCAACAUGAGUGUUGACCAAUUUAAAAUAAUCUUGGCUGGAGAUUUCUGGGAUCUCCUAGUAGUGUUGAUUUGGGUGGCUGCAAAUCUGCACACGGGACAGCUUGUGUUUAGGACCACAAGGGGAGAUACUCCCACUCGCAGUGCUGAGGAUUGAGACAGGCAGGCUUUGUUUGUCCUGCUUCGCAUCAAUCUAGGUAAUUUGAAGCUUCUUACUGAAGACAACAAGAAAACUGAACAAAAUAUAUAUGUAGCAUCUGGUUGACAGCACUACCAAAAGAACAAGGUACCAAAGAGUUAUCAGGCCAAAGCAAAGCAUUCCUGUCAGCUGAAAAAGCCCUUGUUGGAAUUUUCAAAUAGAAACCUCAUCCAAAGACUUUGCUUUCAUCUUAUUGGUCAACACAAAUUUCAAGGAACAUGGGAAUUUUUAUCUUUUUUUGAUGUGCACGUGAUCUGCCACGAUGUGAUUCUGUUUCUAAUGCAAUGGGAGAAUAAAUAUCCUAGUA
Camelus dromedarius (Arabian camel) is the source of this 671-nucleotide long non-coding RNA. RefSeq lists it as uncharacterized. NCBI's taxonomy places the organism in Eukaryota, Metazoa, Chordata, Mammalia, Artiodactyla, Camelidae. The transcript is spliced from 3 exons. The record is from RefSeq and is a predicted model, not a curated record.